This 542-nucleotide ribosomal RNA is filed under the name Mycolicibacterium holsaticum. Its description in RNAcentral is "bacterial SSU rRNA". It matches the Rfam family "Bacterial small subunit ribosomal RNA", at positions 44 to 601 of the family's 1533-position model. Lineage: Bacteria; Bacillati; Actinomycetota; Actinomycetes; Mycobacteriales; Mycobacteriaceae. The record is from RNAcentral.
GUGCUUAACACAUGCAAGUCGAACGGAAAGGCCCUUUCGGGGGUGCUCGAGUGGCGAACGGGUGAGUAACACGUGGGUGAUCUGCCCUGCACUUUGGGAUAAGCCUGGGAAACUGGGUCUAAUACCGAAUAGGACCAUGGGAUGCAUGUCUUGUGGUGGAAAGCUUUUGCGGUGUGGGAUGGGCCCGCGGCCUAUCAGCUUGUUGGUGGGGUGAUGGCCUACCAAGGCGACGACGGGUAGCCGGCCUGAGAGGGUGUCCGGCCACACUGGGACUGAGAUACGGCCCAGACUCCUACGGGAGGCAGCAGUGGGGAAUAUUGCACAAUGGGCGCAAGCCUGAUGCAGCGACGCCGCGUGGGGGAUGACGGCCUUCGGGUUGUAAACCCCUUUCAGUACCGACGAAGCGUGAGUGACGGUAGGUACAGAAGAAGCACCGGCCAACUACGUGCCAGCAGCCGCGGUAAUACGUAGGGUGCGAGCGUUGUCCGGAAUUACUGGGCGUAAAGAGCUCGUAGGUGGUUUGUCGCGUUGUUCGUGAAAUC